CCGGCCUGUCCCGGGCAGGCUCGGGGCGACCGCGGGAUGCGGCGCUGAGCGCGCUCCGCUCGCCUUCUCCGUCCCUCUGUCCGUCCGUCCGUCGGUCACCCCGCCCGGGCUCCCGCACGCCGAGAUUCCUUCCCGCAGCCCAUGAUGUGCCUGGAAAGCGACGGCUCCUCCGGCAGCAGCCCGGGCUGCGGCGGGCGGCUCCGAGCUGGCGACGAGGAGGAGGAGGAGGACGGCGAGCGGGGCUGCUGCGGCCGGGGCGCCGAGGGCGAGGUGCAGACGCUGUCGGGCAGGAUGAACCCUCCGGCGGCCGGCAAGCACCUCGACCGCCCCGCCGCCCUCCGCAAGGCGCCGACCCUCGGCAGGGCCCGGGUAGCGGCCGCCGGCAUCCUCAGUGUGGGCAACGUGCUCAACUACCUGGACCGGUACACCGUGGCAGGUGUGUUACUGGACAUCCAGCAGCACUUUGGAGUCAAGGACAGCGGGGCUGGCUUGUUACAGACAGUUUUUAUCUGCAGUUUCAUGGUCGCGGCGCCGAUCUUUGGUUACCUUGGUGACCGGUUCAACAGAAAGAUCAUUCUCAGCUGUGGGAUCUUCUUUUGGUCAGCUGUCACUUUUUCAAGCUCCUUCAUCACUGAACAGUAUUUCUGGCUGCUCGUGCUCUCUCGGGGGUUGGUUGGCAUCGGUGAAGCGAGUUAUUCCACGAUUGCCCCCACCAUCAUCGGAGACCUGUUCACCAAAAACACCAGGACCCUUAUGCUGUCUGUUUUCUACUUUGCAAUUCCUCUGGGCAGUGGCCUGGGAUACAUCACGGGGUCCAGUGUGAAGCAGGUUGCUGGAGACUGGCACUGGGCACUGCGGGUAUCUCCACUCCUAGGAAUGAUAACAGGGACACUCAUCCUGAUAUUUGUGCCUGCUGCUAAAAGAGGAAAUGCUGAACAACUUGGGGGGCAGCUGAAGGCUCGGACUUCAUGGCUGAGAGACAUGAAAGCAUUGAUUAGAAACCGCAGCUAUGUGUUCUCAUCCUUGGCCACCUCAGCUGUGUCCUUUGCCACGGGGGCCCUCGGCAUGUGGAUCCCUCUGUAUCUGCACAGAGCACAGGUGGUGCAGAAGACAGCAGAGACCUGCAGCUCCCAGCCCUGCGGCACCAAAGAUAGUUUGAUUUUUGGAGCAAUCACCUGCUUCACUGGCUUCCUGGGUGUGAUCACAGGGGCAGGGGCGACCAAGUGGUGCCGCUCGAAGACACAGCGCGCCGAUCCUCUCGUGUGUGCAGUGGGGAUGCUGGGAUCAGCCAUCUUCAUCUGCCUCAUCUUCGUGGCUGCCAAGAGCAGCAUCGUGGGAGCCUAUAUUUGCAUUUUUAUCGGAGAAACUCUUCUGUUUUCAAACUGGGCUAUCACAGCAGACAUACUAAUGUACGUGGUCAUUCCAACUCGCCGUGCAACCGCAGUGGCCUUGCAGAGCUUCACUUCACACCUCCUGGGAGAUGCUGGCAGUCCUUAUCUCAUUGGAUUUAUCUCCGACCUGAUACGACAAAGCACAAAGGAGUCCCCAGUGUGGGAGUUCCUCAGCCUGGGUUAUGCCCUCAUGCUCUGCCCGUUUGUCGUUGUCCUGGGAGGGAUGUUCUUCCUGGCCACAGCCCUCUUCUUCCUCAGUGACCGAGCUAAAGCUGAGCAACAUAAAGAAACCGAUUCGGAUCAUCUCACGGUUGGCAACUACAGUAAUUCGGAAGACGCUUCCACAUGACAUACAAACUUCUGGGGGUGAAUCACCUUGUGAUGCCACCAGCCUCUGUGAAAGUCUGAGACGCUGCCACUGGAGGCAACGACGCGUGGACUCCUGCCCCCGCCACACCAGUGUCACUCUGGAGGCCCCUGUGACUGGAUCUCAGCGGAUCCUGCAGCCCCCAGGGGCUCCCUGCACCACACCCAGCCCUGCAGCCUGCGGGGCAGGCACCGGGAGAGGGGCGGGCAGCGGGACACGGCAGCUUGGGGACACGGGGACAGUCACAGGGUCCCCUCAGCACGGGACCAGCUGGCCACUGACCACACAGUGCUGCCCACGUGAGCAACUGUAGAUUGUGUAAAUGGUGUUAGUUGUAGCCAAUGAAGUCCACGUUGUUUGUAGGGCAGCUGGUGUCCUAUGAACGCUGCUGCUCUGCCAGCACUCCCACAGACUGCACUAGUUGAGGACCUGUUCUGUACAUCACCUUUUCUUUGACACUGAAGGCUUGAUUCAGAUUAUUAUUUUUUAUUUAAAUAUGUUAUAAGAUGCUUUAUCUCUGCUGAAGACAUUAGAUGAGAUAUAUAUAUAUAUACUUAGAUGAACAGUUUUUAUUUAAACAUUUGAAAUCUGGAGCUGCCUGUGCAACCAUAGCAGACAUGAAAAACGUCCACAGCUCUCCUCAGUGCCCUGGUGCCAGGGCCUGCAAGGGCACCACAGGAAAACUUCCAGUGGUGACCUUGCUGUCACUGAGACUGAGCAAUGGGACAGAGGAGAGAGUUUCACUGCACUGGGUAUGCUGGUGGUUGUCACAGAAAGCCCAGAAGAACAUUGGACAGAACCCCCUAUGGGCUCUGGAGUUUUCCAUAUGCUAAAUUCAACCUCCCUAGGAGGUUCACAGGCUUUUAAAAUACCAAAAUCCAGCUGGCUGAGUGGCUGUACCUUGGGCCUGGGAGUGCAAUACUGCUGUGCCAGUGACCUCAUGCUUUGUUUACAUGAUACCAUAUCAGACUGUCAAUGCUAAUUCUCCCUGUCAGUGUCCCAGAGCUGGCACUGCCUUGGAGCAGUGCUGGGUUCCUGCACACCCAGCCCGACCUGUCCCAGAGCACUGUCACUGGUGUCACCUGCACCUUUACAAACCUGCACUGGAGAGCUCUCACACAGGGCCAGUGCCUCAGCUGGGCUACACUCAAGUGCAGAAGCAUCUCGUGGUGCCAUUCCCCUGGAGCCUGGAGUCCUGUGCUUGGCCUCCACACCCAAGGGGAGCACAGGUCCUGGAGAGGGCCAGGCUGCACAGGGAGGCCCUGGCUCAGCAGCCCCCGUUCCCUGUGUUCUGAGCCCUCUCUCACAGGUCAGAUCCCCCCUCCAGGUCAGCACAGCUUCAGCUGGUGAAAGCACAUUCCUCAUUCCUCACAGCUCACAGGUGAGCACCUGGGGUCCAAGGAGGACUAAACCAGCUCAGGAAGUGUCAGAGCAGGACUAGAUGUGAGCUGAGGCUGGGAGCUGCUGUCCUGGCUGUGCCAGAAGAGUCCUCAGGCACGGGAAGGUGCUGUCAGUCACUCUGGGUUUAUCUCCCAUUCCCUGCCAGGAUUGCUGGGCCCUACAGCAGAGAUGGUUCUAAUUCCAGGUGCCACCCCACAGCAAGUCCCUGCCCAGGCUGGGGGUUCCUGUAAUCCCCUGAGCCCUUCCUCCUCCCCAGACCUCACAGGGCUCCUCUGCAAGGGUCCUGAAAUCCCUUAACAACAGCUCUCAGACUCGGCUGAAAUACCAGAGUCAGAAGUGUUCCUCUAGGGCCUGAGCAAGCAGGUGCUAGAAAUAACAAAGCAAAGCAAAUCCCAGCAGUGCUUCACUUCCUACCUCGUGCCACUAUUUACACUGGGGGGGAAACAGCCACUGGAGUCUGGGAGCCAAACACUUGGCUUUAAAGGCACAUGAAUUUCUGAUUCCCAUUAAGAAAUUCCUUUUUAAGCUGUUUAAAAAGAAACAAAAAGCAACCCAACAAUCAGUCAUUUCAUCUCAGAGACCAAAGAAGAUUAACCACAUUUCCUAAAUUGCUUUUCUGAUAGGCUCUGUGUUGUAGCAUUUACUGUCAACAAAAUGGAACAUUUCUGCUGGGGUUCAGAGAUUAGGAAUUCUCCUUAAACUUAAUUCUCAGGAGUCAACGAUGAAAAGGGGACUGAAGUGUUCUGUAAUGUCACUGGCAGUCCUUGCUUGUGACAGGCUCCAGUCCCUGUCAGAGCUGGUUUUAUCCUUUGUGCACAUGAAGGAAAUGCUGUGGAUUGUGUUCAAACAAGGACAGAGGGAAGGGAGCAAACAAGGGAGUGACGAGUGACGCCUGCCUUCACCCAGGGGUCCCUGAAUCCCUGCUCCCACUUGUUCCAGGCUAAGACAGGGAGGCUCAGGCUUCUUCCAGAUCCUUGCUGCAUUCACCAGGGCCUGUGCAAGUGUCCAGAGGCACCAGGGAGGCUCCAGCUGCCCCUCAGUUAAUCAUAAUCUACUCCACUUCAUGAAGGGGAUUUUUUAAAGCAUUAACUCCCCCCAGCUGAUGCUGCACUGGCAAUGGGGUGGUUGGGACACAGUGUGGGAAACUGAGGCACCAGGCCCUGCCCAGAGAGGGGGAGACUGACCCAGAGGGCAGCAAAGCUGCCAAUGCAGGGGCUGCUGCUGCCACUGCCCCCAGAGCAGCUUUGGGGCCCCAGGAGCCUCUCCCCACAGGCAGGGUGACGAAACCCCAAAACUGGCUGUGCUCUGGGAAGCAGAGUCCUCCCAAGCUCCACCCCAAAUGCUGUUUUCUUCUCCAUUUGCUUUAUUGUCUGGUGAACCAGCACUUACAAUCACUUUUACCACGUGAUGUACGGGAGUAUUAGAAUAUUUUCUUGUUAUACAAGGGAGGAGUAUAAAAUAGUUUUCUGAUUUCUUUCAGAAGCAAAUGACUAUUUUAUUUUUUAAGAGCAAUUGAUUGUGAAUCUCAGAGUAUAAAAAAAAAGAUAAGCCAAAUAUAUACCUUUAUGUAAA
RNA transcript from Prinia subflava (tawny-flanked prinia), 4731 nucleotides. It is a transcript of the gene named sphingosine-1-phosphate transporter SPNS2-like, with no coding region annotated. The transcript has 14 exons. The record is from RefSeq and is a predicted model, not a curated record. NCBI's taxonomy places the organism in Eukaryota, Metazoa, Chordata, Aves, Passeriformes, Cisticolidae.